GAUGAACGCUGGCGGCGUGCUUAACACAUGCAAGUCGAACGAAGCAUUUAGGACAGAUUACUUCGGUUUGAAGUUCUUUAUGACUGAGUGGCGGACGGGUGAGUAACGCGUGGGUAACCUGCCUUGUACUGGGGGAUAGCAGCUGGCAACGGCUGGUAAUACCGCAUAAGCGCACAAUGUUGCAUGACAUGGUGUGAAAAACUCCGGUGGUAUAAGAUGGACCCGCGUCUGAUUAGCUAGUUGGUGAGAUAACAGCCCACCAAGGCGACGAUCAGUAGCCGACCUGAGAGGGUGACCGGCCACAUUGGGACUGAGACACGGCCCAGACUCCUACGGGAGGCAGCAGUGGGGAAUAUUGCACAAUGGAGGAAACUCUGAUGCAGCGACGCCGCGUGAGUGAAGAAGUAAUUCGUUAUGUAAAGCUCUAUCAGCAGGGAAGAUAGUGACGGUACCUGACUAAGAAGCUCCGGCUAAAUACGUG
This 481-nucleotide ribosomal RNA is filed under the name uncultured bacterium. RNAcentral describes it as "partial 16S ribosomal RNA". It matches the Rfam family "Bacterial small subunit ribosomal RNA", at positions 28 to 507 of the family's 1533-position model. The record is from RNAcentral.